Molecule: long non-coding RNA, 1652 nt
Filed under: Sus scrofa (pig)
Lineage: Eukaryota; Metazoa; Chordata; Mammalia; Artiodactyla; Suidae
Description: lncRNA (ENSSSCG00005003569.1)
Source: RNAcentral
CCCCCCCACCGACGACCCUUGACACAGUCGUAGCCCCGCCUUGUGCUAAGACCGACUGCUGCCCCUCCUUGUCUCAUGAAGGUGACCCGGCUCUCUUGAGAUCCUCUCCACUAGUCAGUCCCCCCGCCCCCACUGCCCCUUCGUUUUCCUUACAUUUUUGUGCUUAAAUCAGGGACCGCCCCCCCACCCCUUGUCUGUCCCUUUCUCUUCCUCUCCAUUCUCUCCCAGGUUCGGGGAGCACAGACGCCCUCGGAGCUCACUUUCUUCCCCGGGCUUUCCGGGCCUCCUCGAGAGGACGCCCUGUGCUUCGUGAGCGGUGCAAGCCCCCAAUCCUGGGCUUUAUCGGUGAUCUGUGUACCCCUCAGACUGCGUGAGGCCUUUCACUCAUUUCCUAGUUGUCCUCCGUUUUUGAUCCCCGGACCAGAGGUCCUGGCCACUCGACGGCUCUGCAGGCACCACGAUCCUCUGACCCCAGCCCAGGUGGCGUGGGUUGCCAGAACUCCGGGCCCACCUGCUCUCAAGUGCUGGGAUCAGUAAACCCAUCCAAGCCAAGAAGGCAGGAAGACGGAGCGUAGAAAACCUUCUGUGCUGGGGUUCGGGAGACGUGGAUUCCGGCUCCAGCCCUCGCGAGCCCUGGGGUUUGAGCCAAGACCUUAACCUCUCUGGGCCUCAGAGGCCCUCUGUUCAAACGGGGGUCACGGUGCCCACCCCCGCUCAUGAGGACUGAGUGAGAACGCACUCUUUGUAAUCUCCAGUCUCAACACCUGCGAACUCCUUGAGGACCGAAAACUGCCUUCUUCUCCAUAAUCCUCCUCCGUAAAACCAAAGAAACAGUUACGGUGGAGGGCUUCACGGCGCUUACACAGUUUUCUUGCGGGACCCCGACCGCCGCACUCUUCUGGGUUGAGUAGUGACUUCAUGAUUCUGUUCGUUUGGCCCCUGAUGUUUGCUGAUCACUUACUGUGUACCCGGCCAUGUGCAAGGGUUUGGUUGACAAUGAUGAGAAAAGCCAAGACAGCCUUCAUCAUCCGGAGAUCCAGGUAUUAGUGGGACGUACCCAUUACGUAGAUACACACACGCACACGUACAAAUUGAGUUCCAAGAAGAAAAACAAAAAAAAAAAGGAAAAAUGGAUGAAUGUGUUGGGAGGAGGGGCCCAAGUUGGUUUGUGGAGAAUGGGCUAGAAGGUGUCUCCGAGGUGGGGCAUGGCCGACGAAGCCUGAAGGCUGAGUAAGGAGCUGGCCAAAGAGUGGGGAUGGGGUGGGGGGGUGGGGUUCCAAGUAAAAUCCUAUUUUUUUUUUUAGAAUUGCACCUGUAGCAUAUGGAAUUUCCUGGGUCAGGGAUUGAAUCUGAGCUGCAGCUGUGACCUACACCACAGCUGCAGCGAUGCCAGAUCCUUUAACCUACUGCGCUGGACCAAGGAUCAAACCAGCACCUCUGUUGAGAGCCGAGCUACUGCCAUGGAUUUUAACCCACUGUGCCACAGUGGGAACUCCCCAAAAUCCAUCUUCAGGUAAAUGUUUGGAUUCCAUUGGAGGGAUCAGUUCUGCCACUACAUUUUAUUAAGAGAGUUUUGAAGCAAGGGCUCCAAAAGGAAUUGCCGCGUCAGGCUCCCGGCCACAGGCAAGCUGGAAGCGGAGAUUUUCAAGUCA